This 450-nucleotide ribosomal RNA is filed under the name Burkholderia sp. MRh3(37). Its description in RNAcentral is "bacterial SSU rRNA". It matches the Rfam family "Bacterial small subunit ribosomal RNA", at positions 76 to 522 of the family's 1533-position model. The record is from RNAcentral. Lineage: Bacteria; Pseudomonadati; Pseudomonadota; Betaproteobacteria; Burkholderiales; Burkholderiaceae.
GGGGCAACCCUGGUGGCGAGUGGCGAACGGGUGAGUAAUACAUCGGAACGUGUCCUGUAGUGGGGGAUAGCCCGGCGAAAGCCGGAUUAAUACCGCAUACGCUCUACGGAGGAAAGGGGGGGAUCUUAGGACCUCUCGCUACAGGGGCGGCCGAUGGCAGAUUAGCUAGUUGGUGGGGUAAAGGCCUACCAAGGCGACGAUCUGUAGCUGGUCUGAGAGGACGACCAGCCACACUGGGACUGAGACACGGCCCAGACUCCUACGGGAGGCAGCAGUGGGGAAUUUUGGACAAUGGGCGCAAGCCUGAUCCAGCAAUGCCGCGUGUGUGAAGAAGGCCUUCGGGUUGUAAAGCACUUUUGUCCGGAAAGAAAACCUCUGGGUUAAUACCCCGGGGGGAUGACGGUACCGGAAGAAUAAGCACCGGCUAACUACGUGCCAGCAGCCGCGGUA